Molecule: long non-coding RNA, 2027 nt
Filed under: Triticum aestivum (bread wheat)
Lineage: Eukaryota; Viridiplantae; Streptophyta; Magnoliopsida; Poales; Poaceae
Description: long non-coding RNA (TAES_LNC023578)
Source: RNAcentral
AAGAAUGGGAUAAAGAGUUGGCUUACAAUCGCCACUUCACACAAUACAUAAAUAAAUCAUACAUCAUUCAAGAUACACACAUAGGUCCGACUACGGAACCAAGAUAAAAGAAGACAACCCAACUGCUAGAUCCCUGGUCGUCCCAACUGGGCUCCACUACUGAUCAACCAGAAAAGAACAACACAACGAACAAGAUCUUCAUCGAGCUCCCACUUGAGCUCAGUAGCGUCAUCUGCACUGGUCUCAUCGGCACCUGCAACUGUUUGGGAAGUAUCUGUGAGUCACGAGGACUCAGCAAUCUCACACCCGCGAGAUCAAGACUAUUUAAGCUUAAGGAAAGGAUGGGGUAAUGAGGUGGAGCUGCAGCAAGCACUAGCAUAUAUGGUGGCUAACAUACGCAAAUAAGAGCGAGAAGAGAAGCAACGGAACGGUCGUGAUCUAGCAAUGAUCAAGAAGUGAUCCUGAACCCCUACUUACGUCAAACAUAACCCAGAAACCGUGUUCACCUCCCGGACUCCGCCGAGAAGAGACCAUCACGGCUACACACGCGGUUGAUGCGUUUUAAUUAAGGUCAAGUGUCAAAUUCUCUACAACCGGAUAUUAACAAAUUCCCAUCUGCCACAUAACCGCGGGCACGGCUUUUGAAAGAUAAUACCCUGCAGGGGUGUCCCAACUUAGCCCAUCAUAAGCUCUCACGGUCAACGAAGGAUAAACCUUCUCCCAGGAAGACCCGAUCAGUCUCGGAAUCCCGGUUUACAAGACAUUUCGACAAUGGUAAAACAAGACCAGCAAAGCCGCCCGAAUGUGCCGACAAAUCCCGAUAGGAGCUGCACAUAUCUCGUUCUCAGGGCACACCGGAUGAACACUACGUACAACUAAAACCAGACCUCGAGUUUCCCCGAGGUGGCGCUGCAAGUGGCUCUAGUUUGGACCAGCACUCAGAGGAACACUGGCCCGGGGUUUUAAAUAAAGAUGACCCUUGAGUCUGCAGAACCCAAGGGAAAAAGGCUUAGGUAGGCAAAUGGUAAAACCAAGGUUGAGCCUUGCUGGAGGAGUUUUAUUCAAAGCGAACUGUCAAGGGGGUCCCAUAAAUCACCCAACCGCGUAAGGAACGCAAAAUCAAGGAACAUAACACCGGUAUGACGGAAACUAGGGCGGCAAGAGUGGAACAAAACACCAGGCAUAAGGCCGAGCCUUCCACCCUUUACCAAAUAUAUAGAUGCAUUAAUUAAGAUAAGAGAUAUUGUGAUAUCCCAACAUAAAUAGAAUCCAACAUGGAGAAAUCUUCAUCUUCACCUGCAUCUAGCAAUGCUAUAAGAGGGGCUGAGCAAAAGCGGUAACAUAGCCAAACAACGGUUUGCUAGGAAGGGUGACAAGGUUAGAGGUUCAUGGCAAUUUGGGAGGCUUGAAGAGCAAGUGAAUAGGUAACGCGGCAUAGCAAUAGAGCGAACGGCUAGCAAGCAAAGAUAGAAGUGAUUUUGAGGGUAUGGUCAUCUUGCCUGAGAUCCCGCAAGGAAGAAGAACGAGUCCAUGAAGAAGACAAGCGGACGUAGUCGAACGAAUCCUCACAACUCCGGAAAGAAACCGAAGCUCACGAGAGAAGCAACCCGGAAAGAAACAAACAACAUAGUAAACAACCCCCACAUACACAUGGCAUGAUGCACAAACAAGUAUGAUGCAUGUCCGGUUUAAAUAUGCAUGGCAAAGUGAAACAAACAAUACUACAAAUUAAGUGGAGUUCAAUAUGCAACGAGUUGCAUAUUGACGAAACACCACAUCAAUUAUUUAGUUCUCUCUCGUUUAUGGACCCAACAAUAUUAAAUGUUUUUAGCCAUGGCAAGAGGUGAAGCAUAUGGAAACUAUCUAUGAAGGCAAGUUUGAAUGAGGCCGGAAAUAACAAACGACAAUACCGGAAAAUCCUCAUGUCAUUUAACAAUUUUAAUGCAACCAUCAAUUAUUUACAUUUUAAAUGUUGUUAUCAUGAUGCGGAUGACAUAUGCAAGGUUUAGGCAAUUUUUAUGAAAAUG